UACGAAGGGGGGCUAGCGUUGCUCGGAAUCACUGGGCGUAAAGCGCACGUAGGCGGAUCUUUAAGUCAGGGGUGAAAUCCCAAGGCUCAACCUUGGAACUGCCUUUGAUACUGGGGAUCUCGAGUCCGGAAGAGGUUGGUGGAACUGCGAGUGUAGAGGUGAAAUUCGUAGAUAUUCGCAAGAACACCAGUGGCGAAGGCGGCCAACUGGUCCGGUACUGACGCUGAGGUGCGAAAGCGUGGGGAGCAAACAGG
RNAcentral lists this ribosomal RNA (254 nucleotides) under uncultured bacterium. RNAcentral describes it as "partial 16S ribosomal RNA". It matches the Rfam family "Bacterial small subunit ribosomal RNA", at positions 524 to 776 of the family's 1533-position model. The record is from RNAcentral.